RNAcentral lists this transfer RNA (74 nucleotides) under Mycolicibacterium senegalense. RNAcentral describes it as "Mycobacterium senegalense tRNA-Ile". It matches the Rfam family "tRNA". Rfam says of the family: Transfer RNA (tRNA) molecules are approximately 80 nucleotides in length. Their secondary structure includes four short double-helical elements and three loops (D, anti-codon, and T loops). Further hydrogen bonds mediate the characteristic L-shaped molecular structure. tRNAs have two regions of fundamental functional importance: the anti-codon, which is responsible for specific mRNA codon recognition, and the 3' end, to which the tRNAs corresponding amino acid is attached (by aminoacyl-tRNA synthetases). tRNAs cope with the degeneracy of the genetic code in two manners: having more than one tRNA (with a specific anti-codon) for a particular amino acid; and 'wobble' base-pairing, i.e. permitting non-standard base-pairing at the 3rd anti-codon position. RNAcentral also lists the same sequence under 1 other name. Lineage: Bacteria; Bacillati; Actinomycetota; Actinomycetes; Mycobacteriales; Mycobacteriaceae. The record is from RNAcentral.
GGGGUGGUAGCUCAGCUGGUCAGAGCCACGUACUCAUAAUGCGUAGGUCGUGGGUUCAAGUCCCACCUGCCCCA